Molecule: ribosomal RNA, 458 nt
Filed under: uncultured bacterium
Lineage: Bacteria
Description: bacterial SSU rRNA
Rfam family: Bacterial small subunit ribosomal RNA
Source: RNAcentral
AACGAACGCUGGCGGCAGGCUUAACACAUGCAAGUCGAACGCUCCGCAAGGAGAGUGGCAGACGGGUGAGUAACGCGUGGGAACGUGCCUUUUGGUUCGGAACAACUUCGGGAAACUGGAGCUAAUACCGAAUGUGCCCUUCGGGGGAAAGAUUUAUCGCCAAAAGAUCGGCCCGCGUCAGAUUAGCUAGUUGGUGGGGUAAUGGCCUACCAAGGCGACGAUCUGUAGCUGGUCUGAGAGGAUGAUCAGCCACACUGGGACUGAGACACGGCCCAGACUCCUACGGGAGGCAGCAGUGGGGAAUCUUGGACAAUGGGCGCAAGCCUGAUCCAGCCAUGCCGCGUGAAUGAUGAAGGCCUUAGGGUUGUAAAAUUCUUUCGUCGGGGACGAUAAUGACGGUACCCGAAGAAGAAGCUCCGGCUAACUUCGUGCCAGCAGCCGCGGUAAAGUGACUACUG